GCGUGGGGUGGGUUGGGGAAGCUGGACAUUAAUCUGCCCCUGUGAGCAACGACUCUCUUUUUCUUGGAUGUUAAGGUGCCACUGGAUAUCUCGCUCAUCAUGAUGUAUAAGUCACCGCGCUCUCUGACAGCUACGAACAGACUGUUCUGGAAAAAGAAGACAAAAAAAAAAUGAAGAAAAGACAGAACUUACUAACGUCUGUGCUGGACAGGGUGCCGGCGUUUAAGGCUUCGCAGCAGCCUUUGUGUUCAAGCGACAAUCCACUGUAAAGACCAAGCAAAAUGGACAUGGGGAGUCUUCUUUUCUUUUUUCGUGACCUUUUUGUAUUGCAACUAGGAGUGUGAAUUAUGAAGCCACAAAUUGUUUGAAAGGGUGACGGUUCCACAAAGAGCAAUGGACAAAUGGAUGGUCACGAGGGCAACAAUAAGGGAGGAGAAGGAAGAUGACAGCUACUGAAACUGCCAGCAGAGUGAACUCAGUAUAUAAAUAAAAUGACCCUUAUGGCGUUGGAAUACUGUCAAAAGCAAAGCAUUCAUGUUGUAAACAACCAGGAGUUAUAUGUGUGCGUCCACUGGAGCUGCUGCAAAACCCCAGAAUGAGAAAUCACCUCUUGUCUCUUGGGUAGAUACAAACACACACUUCUUUAAAGACAAACUCGAUUUACUGUAUCGAUGGCAAUGGAGUGCAGGCUUUUAGAGCUCAUCUAGCUCUGUCGGAUAUAAUGUUAAUUCUACUAUUAACAUGUUCCCUGAACUGCUUUCUUCAUACAUUAUACAUAAAGCAUAUGGAGUAAAACGUGAAAAAAAGGCUCUGUUUAAACAGAAAAAGCUAAAUGAAAUCUUACAGUCGCCCUUAAAUAUCACUCAGCAUGUCUGUAGCCUCUUUGACACUGACGCCAAACAGGACAGUGUAAAUAUAAACUGUCAUUUACUUUGGCUGUUCUGGGAGCACGCUCCUCUCUAAAAGCAGAUCAAUAUAUUUGGAAUGAUCUUAGAGAGAGAAGCAAUCCCGUAUCAGUCGCUCUUUUUCCUUGUUAAACACCAGCUCACGACUGUACACCAGCUCUUUGAACGCUGGCAGCAAGUAAGCAUGGCAGGAAAGAAAAAGAGAGGGCGGUAAAAGGGAGGAAACCAACACUAAUACAACGUUGAGAUCUUUUAAAUUCAUGCUCCGUUCAGCAGGAUGGCCAAUGACUUAAUCCAGGAACAGGCUCCUGGUGAUAAACGCCAUGCGUGUGCCAUAUGCUUUGAAAAAAACAGGAUUAAAAAGUUAAAUAUACCAGAGUUUGGUCAUUUAGACUCCGUUCCAAAAAGGUCGUGUUCACGCAUGAGACUCCUCUCCUUCCCAAUCCUUCUGUCUUUCUCUUUCUUUCUUUAGAGAAAAGAGCAGACCUAUAUUUCAAAUCACUGAAGAAAGGACUGUUGAAAUGCAGCUGCAGGUUCACCGCACUACUAAUUCUUUGUCAUUUCAAUGAGCAGAGGGUCUUCAUUUGAUAUCCGAGUGCCAUGAACCGCCUCUCUUCCACUGUCCUAAGAGCAGAAAUGCCUUUCCAAAAAAAAAAAAAACAGCCCAAAUGUUCAGCUGCCGUCCCAUUGGAACAACAUUUUAAAACCUGGCUAAUGUCUGUACUCACUAGCCUUCAAUUAUCGCCUGCACCGUAUUAGACAUGCUAUUUCACCUUUUCCUCUAAUCGCACUGUAAUCACCAGCCUCUAUACAUUAGCUGCAACCGAGUGAAAAAUCACAGCGAUAAUUACUUGGACCAAAUGACGGGAGAGAUGGUCCCCUGAAUGCACAUGGAUGACAGAAGGAAGAUUAGAGAGAAUUAUGUUUGUGCCUACUCCCUGGCAAGGCUGCUGACAGCUGACCUGGCACCAAUAAUACUGUCGAAUUCAGCCGAAAAGACGAUAGAGGACGUGGGAUAAAACCUCCCAUAUCAUCACAUUAAUAUUGCAAAGCGGAUUGACGUUACCCCAAAAAAUGUAAAGAGAUACGUCGAUGAAUAAAGGUGUGAAACGGUUUUGCAUUUAGAGCGAACGUCGCAACAGUAGCUGCUUAACAGUUGACAAAUGUUCUGCAAAUCCUUAAAUUCCGUAGAAGGACCUGCACUUUGGCCUCGGUUAUUGGGCUUUUUCGUUCAGCAUGCAAUUGAGUCUCAAAUUAUUUAUUAAGUAGCCACACAUUUAUACAAUAAAAGUACAAUCCUUUCCUUCCCUUUCUCUUAUCCUUGCUGGGACACCUGCGAAGCACACAGCUGUAGAUUUAGAAAUUGUGUGAGCAAGGUAGUUCUUCAGAUUCAAUUCAGAUGGGCAUCAAAAGUUACAACUUUAAAAUAAAAGUAAAACUGCCUUCAAAUAAAAGUAGGGGAAGAAGCCUGUUGUCCUUCUCAACCAUUAAUCUGAUGACAGUUAUAAUACCUGUCAGGCUGGACAUGAACCGUAUCUUAUAUCACAUAGUGUACCAGUUCCCACUGCUAAUGGCAGGUUGAGUCCACCGGUGAGUUUAAACCCAGCCAGUAUCACGCUGCCGCCUCGGCUUCCAGUGCAGUGUUCAUGUAGCUUCUCUGCUAUGCCAGGGCUAAAUGUAGGCAAUGCGAAACCAGCCCUUCAACACUUUCAAACAAGGGUGCUGUUAUUACUUUAACACUCCGGGGAGGUUGUUACUGGAGUGAAGUGCAUUAUGAACAGAAAUAGCUGUGAAACAUGCAUCGGAGCUGCCAAAACAAAAACAAAAAAGAGGGUUUUUAGAUAUUUCCAUUCCCCCCGUGUAUUGGCACAAGUGUAUGCCAUCCCAGCUCACAGCCUCUGUCCUGUCUGCUCUUAGCCCAGGUCAUGUUUCACCUCCAGGAGCCAUGACACACCCAUCGGGCACCAGCCAGGCUGCAGCCCAAAUGUUAUUGGAUUUUUGUCCUCGUAACUUGACAUUUUAGCCGAAAAGAACUAGAAGAAGUCAAUGUGAGGGUGCAAAGCUUUCCCACACAAUAAAAAUGACAAUGGCAAAGUCAAACAUAGUGUCCUUCAUCUGCUCAGUGGUCAUACAACAUCUAACCAGUGCAACCAGUUCUCUUACAUUCAGCAUUUCAACCACUUAUUCGCUUCUCUGACUCUGACGCAUGCACUCACUCGGACCCUGCAUCGUUAAAUUAGAAAGGGGCGGAGUUCUAGACUGUAUACACAUAGUGCACGCACAUCCUCGGUUGCAACUACGCCGUGAGGUCAGUCCUUUAGACGCCCUGCACGAGCAAUAGAACUGCUAGAGCGCGUCUAUGAGUCUCUAACCCCCUGGGUGCAUAACACUCACCCUAAAAUAGCAGUAAUUGUCAAGGAAAGGAAGUGAAAUGUAAUUGACUGAAAGUGGAGAGAUAAUUAAAGGAACCUGUUGGACAGGAGGAAAGAAAUUAAUGCCUCUCGUUUAAUGGCUGCUUUGGGAGUGAGCUUUUCCGUCAUCUCACUUCGGCAUACAGCAGGUUUCGCUGUGGAAAUCAGAUUUGGCCUAGAGAAAAAAAAGGUGGAGGAGGAAAGGGCACUGGGUGGUGGGGGUUCUGUGAGCUAAACCGAAACAAAAAUCACUCCCAAUACUCAGGGCGUCGGGCGCUAUGAUGUCAUGAUCAGUGGAGAGGAUCAGAGCCUUGCCUUACCCCUGAUCCCGGGAGGUCGAGCAGAAUUACCAAUAUGAGGUCAGUGUUAUAAGAUUGUGUAAGAAUUGUUCUUUUGGAUUUAGAGUAUCACCCCCAAAUUCCACCAAGCGACCAACAAACAACAAACAUGCCAUCAGACACACGAGGACGCACAGUGAACCGCUGGCAGUGCGCAAUUAUGUUUAACAGCAUGGCUGACAGUGAUGAGGACAAAUACUUUUUUUUAUCCCUUUGUGUAAAUAGCCUAUUAAAUGAAGAAAAAAAUAAAGAACAGUUGAAGCCUGUAUAGCAGCUUGUGUUGAGAAGCCCCAACUCUGUGGGACAAUGAUGUCACUAUAAAAUGUAUCCACAGCAGUGCAGGGAUCAAGGAGAUUUUGGUUCCUUUAAGCCCCUUAAGUUCGGCCUCUGAACAUGCAUCCUACAACCCUAAGAGUCGGACCAAGGCUUAGAGAGCAUUUGCCUUAGUGUCAAACUUAAGCCACAGCCCCGAAGUGAUCCGGUAAUUAAGAUUUUGUGUACACCGACAUGUCAUGAUGUUUCUGACAGAAGAGAGAUCGCCUGUGCAGUAAUUGGAUUAGUCCAAUUGGGGCUGAUGAACAGAUAUGACAGUGACAGUAGAGUUCAUCCAUCUGCAUGCUUUCCGCUUGACAGUGCGACAAAAGAAAAAAAAAGGCUACCAAAACACUUUUUAAAAUUCCGCAGUUUCGCAAAAAGAAAUCUCCAUGUGACAGUUUGUUCAACAUGUACAUAAAUCAUUUAACACAUGGUGGAACCCACAUGUAAGUAGUUAGGCUGAGAUCGCAGGAUGGGGAGGAACAAGAGAGCAUUUUUUGGAGAACCCAGCAGAACCCUCAGCCAGUUUGACCACACCUGAUACGGCACCUGUACAUACAAUAAAGCUUAUUUUUCAAUUCUGUUGAACCUUCUUUACAGGCCAUACAAUAGAUCAUGUUUAAACCUAAAAAAAAUAAAAGUUUAUAUAUUUCAGUGAAACUAAGAGUGGAAAACUAUGAAAUAACACUUAUUUGGUGAAGCACUGAUGUAUAAAAUGGGAUUUUAUACUUAUGUUGGUAAAUGGUUCUUCCUUAUCUCUUUUCUUUAUGGUAUUUUCUUCUGAGGCUGGAUUUGACCCAAUGUCAUGAGGUUUGUUCAUAUAAACUUUGCUAACUGAAAGAUGUUAAAUCAAUACAAUAAUUAAUAACUGCACUGUAAAAGGGUGAUUGGUGGUGCAAGUCAUGUUGAUUCAGAACAAAUCAACACAAUCAAAACAAUUUGAUUGCAUGUUACAAACAGAUCCCAUUAGAGGCUGUUUUUUUGUUUGUUAAAGGAAAAAAAGACAUAGAAAUACAAAACAGAAAUCAAACUUUGCAGCCAGAUUGGUUUUGAGAACAAUGCUGUCAUAUCUCAUAGUGGUGGUUAUGCCAUGGAUCAUUUCCUCUAAUGUUUUUCUUCUUGUCUUUCUCUGUCACUGUGAAAUUGCAUUGUUUCAUUUUAGCAGCAUCUUUUAUUUAUUUUCUAGAAGGGUUGGUGGUUCUCAUUGUCAUAUCUGAUUUGAACUUCUCUGUUUUUACUUAUGGGAAGCCUCCACAGUUUGUUAUCUAAUGUGACUCAAUCCACUGAAGGCGUUGUACCAACGGUAGAUAAUGCCACUUUGCUUUACUCCAGUCAGGUUGAAAUGUUAAUGUGAGAAGGGAAUUCUGCCUUAAACCCAGCCUGUUCCCUCUGACAGCACUACCUGUGAGCAGUGGUCAUGAACACAUUUUUGGGGAUGCCAAAUGUUCUGUCUUCAAAAGUGAAGAAACUAUCUGUUGUCAAGACAAACACUUUGCCGGGGUCAGAUUUUUGCCUCAAGCCCAUUCUGACACAAAAAAAGAACGAGGUCUUCCACCUCCAUUUCCAUUGGUUGCCAGGACCAAAAAGUAAACACACUCGGCCAACUGAGCGGUUUGCUCCAAUCAAGCAUUCAAUGAGAGCCUUUAAGGGAUUCACAUUCAGUCACAGGUGAUUUUGCACUGUGGACCUUUAUGUCAUGAAUCAUUACAUUCCCAGCUUCGCUACCUAAUUUCUACUUGUCCGUUUGUUCCCAUGCAAAAUGAAUUAAUCACAACAUAUUUGGGUAUUUCUAUUUCCAACUGAUGGAAUAAUCAUAUAUUUCAUUUUUUUUCUUGAACAAACUGUUUUCUUUUUGUGUCAAACAGAGAUGUAAUUUGAAAUAGCGUCGGCGCGGAUCUGUUUCCCUGAUUCGGGGUGAUCUUCCCAUAGUGCUCCUGAACUCUGUAGUUCUCUAGUUCAUUAUAUUCUGCUUAGACUAAAAUAAAGCACAGUCCUGUAGAAGAUUUGGCCUGUUUUGUCCUUCCUUUUCUUAUCUGCUCUCAGAGCUCGACCGGAUAAUUCCUCCAGGUGUGAAUCUAUCGUGGCGUGCAUGCAUCACGCCGUUUGCAAAGAUGUGAAUUGUUCGAGGUCCUCUUGUCACUUGGACUGCGGAGGGAAUGCAUUUAGAACAUGCCAUUGUAUUAAUUGAGCUAACAGCACUAACCAUAUCCGAAUACCAAAUUAGAUGAGAUGGUUAGUGGAAAACUGUUUAAAAAGGGCGAAUAAUGCAUAAUAAAUGGAAGGGAGAUUGGAAUAGGGAGGGGAAUAAAUUGUGAAUUGAUUAAAGGGAAAUGGAUAUGCAGCUCUUGUCUCGAGGAGCUGUUAUAGUGGAAACAAAAUCAGGUGCAAUUUGUGCUGCUGGUUAUCGUCUGUGAAUAAGAAAGAGGAGGUCAAUCAAUUAAUCAGAGGUUUUCCUCAUGCUGCUUUUUAUUGACAGAGACGCUGCGAUAAGAAGGGUCAGGUCACAUUGGAGCCUAUAUGGUCAGUGUCCUUUUUUUGACCCGGAGUCUCCUCAACCCUCAUUAAUGCUCCGAUUCAGCCGUCAGCAACCAUCAGAUGCCACAAAACCUAUUAGAGGGGAAUGAAAAGUCACAUUGUGUCAAAC
Molecule: long non-coding RNA, 6613 nt
Organism: Gasterosteus aculeatus aculeatus (three-spined stickleback)
Lineage: Eukaryota; Metazoa; Chordata; Actinopteri; Perciformes; Gasterosteidae
Source: Ensembl